GCCCAGGUGGCGAAAUUGGUAGACGCGCUAGCUUCAGGUGCUAGUCCUCGCAAGGGGGUGGAGGUUCAAGUCCUCUCCUGGGCACCA
Molecule: transfer RNA, 87 nt
Filed under: Gammaproteobacteria bacterium MOLA455
Lineage: Bacteria; Pseudomonadati; Pseudomonadota; Gammaproteobacteria; Cellvibrionales; Porticoccaceae
Also listed under: 4 other names
Description: tRNA-Ser
Rfam family: tRNA
About the family: Transfer RNA (tRNA) molecules are approximately 80 nucleotides in length. Their secondary structure includes four short double-helical elements and three loops (D, anti-codon, and T loops).
Source: RNAcentral